CCUACGGGUGGCUGCAGUGGGGAAUAUUGGACAAUGGGGGGAACCCUGAUCCAGCCAUGCCGCGUGUGUGAAGAAGGCCCUCGGGGUGUAAAGCACUUUCAGUGAGGAAGAACGCCUGGUGGUUAAUACCCAUCAGGAAAGACAUCACUCACAGAAGAAGCACCGGCUAACUCCGUGCCAGCAGCCGCGGUAAUACGGAGGGUGCGAGCGUUAAUCGGAAUUACUGGGCGUAAAGCGCGCGUAGGUGGCUUGAUAAGCCGGUUGUGAAAGCCCCGGGCUCAACCUGGGAACGGCAUCCGGAACUGUCAAGCUAGAGUGCAGGAGAGGAAGGUAGAAUUCCCGGUGUAGCGGUGAAAUGCGUAGAGAUCGGGAGGAAUACCAGUGGCGAAGGCGGCCUUCUGGACUGACACUGACACUGAGGUGCGAAAGCGUGGGUAGCAAACAGGAUUAGAUACCCCGGUAGUC
This 465-nucleotide ribosomal RNA is filed under the name Vreelandella stevensii. RNAcentral describes it as "partial 16S ribosomal RNA". It matches the Rfam family "Bacterial small subunit ribosomal RNA", at positions 338 to 795 of the family's 1533-position model. Lineage: Bacteria; Pseudomonadati; Pseudomonadota; Gammaproteobacteria; Oceanospirillales; Halomonadaceae. The record is from RNAcentral.